GAGACACAUUCUAGCCAAUCAGCAGCAGACCCUCCCUCCCAGACCCUCCCACCUCCUGGACAGCUCACUAAGAAUGCAGCUUCACAAUGAAUGUAAAAUGGAUGCUGUCCAGGAGGUGGGAGGGUCUGGGAGGGAGGGUCUGCUGCUGAUUGGCUGGAAUGUGUCUG
Pelobates cultripes (western spadefoot toad) is the source of this 167-nucleotide non-coding RNA. NCBI's taxonomy places the organism in Eukaryota, Metazoa, Chordata, Amphibia, Anura, Pelobatidae. The record is from the annotation of a GenBank genome assembly.